Molecule: ribosomal RNA, 460 nt
Filed under: uncultured bacterium
Lineage: Bacteria
Description: partial 16S ribosomal RNA
Rfam family: Bacterial small subunit ribosomal RNA
Source: RNAcentral
CCUACGGGAGGCUGCAGUGAGGAAUAUUGGUCAAUGGACGAGAGUCUGAACCAGCCAAGUAGCGUGAAGGAUGACUGCCCUAUGGGUUGUAAACUUCUUUUAUAUGGGAAUAAAAUGUUGUAUGCGUGGGCUUUUGUAUGUACCAUAUGAGUAAGGAUCGGCUAACUCCGUGCCAGCAGCCGCGGUAAUACGGAGGAUCCGAGCGUUAUCCGGAUUUAUUGGGUUUAAAGGGAGCGUAGGUGGAUUGUUAAGUCAGUUGUGAAAGUUUGCGGCUCAACCGUAAAAUUGCAGUUGAAACUGGCAGUCUUGAGUACAGUAGAGGUGGGCGGAAUUCGUGGUGUAGCGGUGAAAUGCUUAGAUAUCACGAAGAACUCCGAUUGCGAAGGCAGCUCACUGGACUGCAACUGACACUGAGGCUCGAAAGUGUGGGUAUCAAACAGGAUUAGAUACCCGGGUAGUC